GCCAUUUAGCCGAAUAAGAGGCUAGCGCAAAUGCUUUUACCUAUACCCUGAAAGACCAUUCCUUCGCUCUACGAAAGCAUAGGAAAGAAUCCAAAGGAAAACUGACAACAAUAAUAGAUAGGGCAAUGGGCAUACAACUCAAAGAUGAAGCUUACAAAAGAAUACAAUCAAUCAAGCUUCCUUACUUGAGAAAGAGGAUGCCCUUAAAAAAAGACGGAAGCAGCAAAGAGACACACCUACAAGAAGAAGUCUUAGGGAACGAAGGGGACAGAAUAGAGUGAAUCAAGGUUGCUUCCUUCCUAGCUAAGGAAAAAAAGAAAGGACCUAAAAAGCCAUUCCAAUAUAAGGAAGAAUCCACAUUUCCAAUCGGCGAUGGAUGAUCAAGCAGCGGGACAAAAGAUUCAAUUAAGAGAUUGACCCACUCAAAGUAUUCCUAUAACAUACGAAAAGUCCUAUAGUCAGUCCUUCCUUCACUCAGCAAUAGCGGACUUGGAAGCAACCCGGAAAAGGAUCCUUAGCACCCAACCCCUCGUUCGGACCUUAGUCUCAUUCUCAAAGAAGGAGAAUGCUCAACAAACAGAAAGACGAGUAGAAUGGACUGCUUACACAAGCAAGAGCUAGACAGAGGGGAUGAAAGGAAAGAUUGAAAGAAGGAAAAAGAUGACGAUCGCUCGUGAACCAUGACUAAUGGGGAACUUCACUACCUGCGGGAGAGCAGUUAGAUUAACUCAAAAAGGAAAAGGGAUUAGGCGCUUACUGAUAGGAGUAGGAUGCUUGAAAGGCUGGCGGAUACGAUUUCA
Molecule: unclassified non-coding RNA, 800 nt
Filed under: Hevea brasiliensis (rubber tree)
Lineage: Eukaryota; Viridiplantae; Streptophyta; Magnoliopsida; Malpighiales; Euphorbiaceae
Source: RNAcentral